UUAAGCGACUAAGCGUACACGGUGGAUGCCCUGGCAGUCAGAGGCGAUGAAGGACGUGCUAAUCUGCGAUAAGCGUCGGUAAGGUGAUAUGAACCGUUAUAACCGGCGAUUUCCGAAUGGGGAAACCCAGUGUGNNNNNNNNNNNNNNNNNNNNNNNNNNNNNNNNNNNNNNNCACACUAUCAUUAACUGAAUCCAUAGGUUAAUGAGGCGAACCGGGGGAACUGAAACAUCUAAGUACCCCGAGGAAAAGAAAUCAACCGAGAUUCCCCCAGUAGCGGCGAGCGAACGGGGAGGAGCCCAGAGCCUGAAUCAGUGUGUGUGUUAGUGGAAGCGUCUGGAAAGGCGCGCGAUACAGGGUGACAGCCCCGUACACAAAAAUACACAUAUUGUGAGCUCGAUGAGUAGGGCGGGACACGUGGUAUCCUGUCUGAAUAUGGGGGGACCAUCCUCCAAGGCUAAAUACUCCUGACUGACCGAUAGUGAACCAGUACCGUGAGGGAAAGGCGAAAAGAACCCCGGCGAGGGGAGUGAAAAAGAACCUGAAACCGUGUACGUACAAGCAGUGGGAGCACGCUUAGGCGUGUGACUGCGUACCUUUUGUAUAAUGGGUCAGCGACUUAUAUUCUGUAGCAAGGUUAACCGAAUAGGGGAGCCGAAGGGAAACCGAGUCUUAACUGGGCGUUAAGUUGCAGGGUAUAGACCCGAAACCCGGUGAUCUAGCCAUGGGCAGGUUGAAGGUUGGGUAACACUAACUGGAGGACCGAACCGACUAAUGUUGAAAAAUUAGCGGAUGACUUGUGGCUGGGGGUGAAAGGCCAAUCAAACCGGGAGAUAGCUGGUUCUCCCCGAAAGCUAUUUAGGUAGCGCCUCGUGAAUUCAUCUCCGGGGGUAGAGCACUGUUUCGGCAAGGGGGUCAUCCCGACUUACCAACCCGAUGCAAACUGCGAAUACCGGAGAAUGUUAUCACGGGAGACACACGGCGGGUGCUAACGUCCGUCGUGAAGAGGGAAACAACCCAGACCGCCAGCUAAGGUCCCAAAGUCAUGGUUAAGUGGGAAACGAUGUGGGAAGGCCCAGACAGCCAGGAUGUUGGCUUAGAAGCAGCCAUCAUUUAAAGAAAGCGUAAUAGCUCACUGGUCGAGUCGGCCUGCGCGGAAGAUGUAACGGGGCUAAACCAUGCACCGAAGCUGCGGCAGCGACGCUUAUGCGUUGUUGGGUAGGGGAGCGUUCUGUAAGCCUGCGAAGGUGUGCUGUGAGGCAUGCUGGAGGUAUCAGAAGUGCGAAUGCUGACAUAAGUAACGAUAAAGCGGGUGAAAAGCCCGCUCGCCGGAAGACCAAGGGUUCCUGUCCAACGUUAAUCGGGGCAGGGUGAGUCGACCCCUAAGGCGAGGCCGAAAGGCGUAGUCGAUGGGAAACAGGUUAAUAUUCCUGUACUUGGUGUUACUGCGAAGGGGGGACGGAGAAGGCUAUGUUGGCCGGGCGACGGUUGUCCCGGUUUAAGCGUGUAGGCUGGUUUUCCAGGCAAAUCCGGAAAAUCAAGGCUGAGGCGUGAUGACGAGGCACUACGGUGCUGAAGCAACAAAUGCCCUGCUUCCAGGAAAAGCCUCUAAGCAUCAGGUAACAUCAAAUCGUACCCCAAACCGACACAGGUGGUCAGGUAGAGAAUACCAAGGCGCUUGAGAGAACUCGGGUGAAGGAACUAGGCAAAAUGGUGCCGUAACUUCGGGAGAAGGCACGCUGAUAUGUAGGUGAAGUCCCUUGCGGAUGGAGCUGAAAUCAGUCGAAGAUACCAGCUGGCUGCAACUGUUUAUUAAAAACACAGCACUGUGCAAACACGAAAGUGGACGUAUACGGUGUGACGCCUGCCCGGUGCCGGAAGGUUAAUUGAUGGGGUCAGCGCAAGCGAAGCUCUUGAUCGAAGCCCCGGUAAACGGCGGCCGUAACUAUAACGGUCCUAAGGUAGCGAAAUUCCUUGUCGGGUAAGUUCCGACCUGCACGAAUGGCGUAAUGAUGGCCAGGCUGUCUCCACCCGAGACUCAGUGAAAUUGAACUCGCUGUGAAGAUGCAGUGUACCCGCGGCAAGACGGAAAGACCCCGUGAACCUUUACUAUAGCUUGACACUGAACAUUGAGCCUUGAUGUGUAGGAUAGGUGGGAGGCUUUGAAGUGUGGACGCCAGUCUGCAUGGAGCCGGCCUUGAAAUACCACCCUUUAAUGUUUGAUGUUCUAACGUGGACCCGUGAUCCGGGUUGCGGACAGUGUCUGGUGGGUAGUUUGACUGGGGCGGUCUCCUCCUAAAGAGUAACGGAGGAGCACGAAGGUUGGCUAAUCCUGGUCGGACAUCAGGAGGUUAGUGCAAUGGCAUAAGCCAGCUUGACUGCGAGCGUGACGGCGCGAGCAGGUGCGAAAGCAGGUCAUAGUGAUCCGGUGGUUCUGAAUGGAAGGGCCAUCGCUCAACGGAUAAAAGGUACUCCGGGGAUAACAGGCUGAUACCGCCCAAGAGUUCAUAUCGACGGCGGUGUUUGGCACCUCGAUGUCGGCUCAUCACAUCCUGGGGCUGAAGUAGGUCCCAAGGGUAUGGCUGUUCGCCAUUUAAAGUGGUACGCGAGCUGGGUUUAGAACGUCGUGAGACAGUUCGGUCCCUAUCUGCCGUGGGCGCUGGAGAACUGAGGGGGGCUGCUCCUAGUACGAGAGGACCGGAGUGGACGCAUCACUGGUGUUCGGGUUGUCAUGCCAAUGGCACUGCCCGGUAGCUAAAUGCGGAAGAGAUAAGUGCUGAAAGCAUCUAAGCACGAAACUUGCCCCGAGAUGAGUUCUCCCUGACCCUUUAAGGGUCCUGAAGGAACGUUGAAGACGACGACGUUGAUAGGCCGGGUGUGUAAGCGCAGCGAUGCGUUGAGCUAACCGGUACUAAUGAACCGUGAGGCUUAACCUU
Molecule: ribosomal RNA, 2935 nt
Filed under: Shigella sonnei
Lineage: Bacteria; Pseudomonadati; Pseudomonadota; Gammaproteobacteria; Enterobacterales; Enterobacteriaceae
Description: bacterial LSU rRNA
Rfam family: Bacterial large subunit ribosomal RNA
Source: RNAcentral